UACGAAGGGGGCUAGCGUUGCUCGGAUUGACUGGGCGUAAAGGGCGCGUAGGCGGUUCGUACAGUCAGACGUGAAAUUCCUGGGCUCAACCUGGGGGCUGCGUUUGAUACGUGCGGACUUGAGUGCGGAAGAGGGUCGUGGAAUUCCCAGUGUAGAGGUGAAAUUCGUAGAUAUUGGGAAGAACACCGGUGGCGAAGGCGGCGACCUGGUCCGAUACUGACGCUGAGGUGCGAAAGCUAGGGGAGCAAACAGG
RNAcentral lists this ribosomal RNA (253 nucleotides) under uncultured bacterium. Its description in RNAcentral is "partial 16S ribosomal RNA". It matches the Rfam family "Bacterial small subunit ribosomal RNA", at positions 524 to 776 of the family's 1533-position model. The record is from RNAcentral.